This 348-nucleotide ribosomal RNA is filed under the name uncultured bacterium. RNAcentral describes it as "bacterial SSU rRNA". It matches the Rfam family "Bacterial small subunit ribosomal RNA", at positions 29 to 372 of the family's 1533-position model. The record is from RNAcentral.
AUUGAACGCUGGCGGAAUGCUUUACACAUGCAAGUCGAGCGGCAGCGCGGGGCAACCUGGCGGCGAGCGGCGAACGGGUGAGUAACGGAUCGGAACGUAUCCUCGAGUGGGGGAUAGCCCGGCGAAAGCCGGAUUAAUACCGCAUACGAUCCCCGGAUCAAAAUCCGGGGAUGAAAGUGGGGACCGCAAGGCCUCACGCUCGAGGAGCGGCCGAUCUCUGAUUAGCUAGUUGGCGGGUAAGAGCCACCAAGGCGAUGAUCAGUAGCUGGUCUGAGAGGAUGAUCAGCCACACUGGGACUGAGACACGGCCAGACUCCUACGGAGGCAGCAGUGGGAAUUUUGGACAAU